UCAACGAGUCCUGUGGUACUAAGUACUGACUUCACUUUUGUCCGCUUCCAAAUAUGAUGAUUUUCUGGCAUGGUAACGGUAGGAGACCCUUAUAUUUUUACCUUAUUUACUAGUUUGAUUAUAAUAAGAAUUUUACCGUCUCCGUUAUUGAGUUAAUAGUUUAAUUGGUCCCUAAAGGAGUUUUGGGGACGAUUAUGUGCGGAGGAUUAUUCGUGGGAGGAAAAUAUGUGGACGGUAAAAAUGGUAAAUUUUAGCUAGUAAAAGGUAAUUUUUAUUAGGGUAUUAUUUUGGUGUGUAAAUUUUAGAGUGGGUUUUGGUAUAUAAGGUUGUUGGACCGGGUGUAGAGGCCCAUUUCUCUUUUCUCUUUUUCUCCUCUUUUCUCCUCCCGGUUCUCUCUCUCUCCCGAGCUCCUCCCGCUGUCCGGUUUUCCGGCCGUCCUCCUGCCGCCGUCCGGCCACCGUCUGCCGCCGCUCCGGUCCUAAACUGACUGCCUCCGACCCAGCUUCCAUUCUAGGCCGGUAGCAGCUCCCCUAGCGCCGCCGUGAGAGAGCGGUGCCGCUCGAAAGGUUUGACUGCCUAGAGCUUCCGGUCGCCGGAACUCCCUCCUCCGGCCACCAAAACCGGUGAUCCUUGGCUCGUUUUGUAGCCCUCCUCCCGUGCAGCAACCCCUCCAAUCAGCUCACUCCCUCUUGAGUUAGGUAAGGAGAAAUGUGGAGUUGAAAUUUCUAGGGCUUUCAGGUGUUUGUGUUCGAUUGCCCUAAUUAGGCUUGGAUUUUGGGUUUGUGCUGGUCAGGAAAGUUGUAGAGCUUGAUGAGAGGAGUAUUCUGUUAAAAUUACAUAGAUUUUGGAGGUCGCCGGAAUUGGCCUCCGGCCGCCGGUUGAGAGAUUUUAAUGUUGUUAAAUUUGGAAUAUUAAGGGGAGUUUAUUGAAGUGAGUUAUGGAAUUUUUGGAUGAGUUUUGGAUAGGUUUAUGAAUUUCCGAAGUUAGUAUUUUUGGCGGUUAAUUUAUGUAGAAUCCGGCCGUUGGAUUAAAGUUGUUUAAACUGUGGGAAAGUGUAAUUACGGCUGCUGGUUCUAGGGUUGAAAUGUGGACCAUUUCGAAGUUAGGCAAUGAUGAACGUGUUAAUGGCUCUCAGUUAAUUUCUGCCUAUUUUGUGUAAAUAUUGGAAUUUCGGCUGGGAACUUAAUAUUAUAUUUGGAACAGGUUGUGAGGAGGCUCGAGCUGACGAGGCCCUAGAUCGACAUCAGGCUUAGGCCUAAUUUGUGAGUGGACUUUUGUUUUAAAUAAUGUGCAUGCGAAAUAAUUUAUGUUGUUGGAGAAUAACCGAAAUUGAGAAUUUCGGUGAGUAUAUAUAUAUCCAUAUGUGGAUGAUUAUGAGAAUAAUAUGUAUAUGAGAGAAUGCUAGCUAGCUGUACGUGCUUUUCCACCAUAAUGAAGUAAAAUUCCAUUAUGGUGCGACGUGAACGUUAGACGUAAUCGUCGUAGCCCUAUAUAAAAAUAAUAAUUUAUAUAAUGGAUAUGCGCGUAUAUUUAUACACCGUCUUUUCCACCAUAAUGAGGUAAAAUGUCAUUAUGGUGCGACGUGAGCGUUAGACGCAAGCGUCGUAGCCUUGUGUGAAUUUUCUAUUUGUUUUUGUUGUUUCAAGAAAAUUCAUACAAGGGAUAUGACGAGUGUAAUACAUACAUAUUUUAUUUUAGCUUGAGAGGCUGUAUUUUAUUAAGCGUUGGAGACUGGCCGGAGCUAGUCAUGAAAUUUCUAGUUUUCGUGUUGAGUGUUUUGAGCUGUCGCAUGCAGCAUAUUUUUCUAUGGAAAAGUAAAAAUUAGGAAAGCAUAAAGAAAUAUUUUAUUUAUUUUAUUUUUGUUCACUCACUCUAACGUGUUCAAAUGUUUCCCCUGGGCCCUUCGUUUUAAAAUGCCCAGUCUGCAGAGUUCGGGUUGGACCUAGUAGGAGACGAGGCAUAGUCACCCGCAUUUCCACCACUUUUCAUUAGUAGGUUACCUGUUUAACCUACCUGUGGUUUCUUUUUCCGCUAGUGUUUAGUAGCUCUGAAUACUUGGGUUUAAUGUAUAUUUUUUUCGGUUGUGGGUGAAGACUUGUUGACGUCUUAGAAUAUUUGUUGGAGGAUUUAUGUUAUCUUUUGGAUAAUGAUAUUUGAUGUUUGGAUAAUGUUGUGUUGUUGGUGGUAGUUGUAUUUGGGGAGCACGUAGGCUCCAGGAGUUAAGGUUGGAUUAAAAUUUUUGGAAGUGUUUGCAGGUUUUCUUUAGGAAGGGUUGUCCAUUUUCAAGGGAGGUUAUGCCGAUUUUUCGGUAAUAUCUUUCUUGGAGGUGGUCCCCGCACAACUUACUCCGGGUUUCAGGGUGAAAUUCGGGAUGGGUCGUGUUAGUAACAAUGGGCCUUCUCAGUGAUAUUGGCGGGAUGGCUUCCAAGUUUGAAGAGAUCACCUUCAAGUAUGUCCCUCGGGAAGCAAAUUUUGUGGCCGAUGCAAUGGCUAGCUUGGGGCAUCAGGUUCCAAAUCCAACUCUCUGGAAUUGCAAGCUUCCGCUCUCCGCGCUUAAUGCCUUUAAUUUUGUUCAUUUAGUUUAGGUUGUUGUAGAGACUUCUCUUUGUAAUUUCUUUUCUCUCAUAACAAAAAUAAAAUAAUGGGCCUAUGAGCAUGAUAGUAUGUCUCGUAUGGUUAUGGAUCAAUUCAGUCAAAAUACGUCAGCUAUGAAAUUGCGAAGACGACCAGAUCUCUCUCGGUUUUCAUAUUUUUCGUGCUUAAUGAGGUUACCAAUGCUUCUCUGUUCUUCAACUUUUCUAGCAGGAUUUCAUUUUGUGUAUGGGGGCUUUGCUUGUCCAUCAAUAUAGCUCUUCGUUGAAUUUUGAUCCAACUGCCAAGCCCAUAUCAUGUUAAUGAGAUUUUUCCAUAUGAAUAGGGCAUGUUUUGAACCAUAUAAAAGGCAUAAUCUGCAUAUAUAAAUUGGUUCCAUUGCAAGAAGUGGUUCGGUAUUAGCAAUAUAAACGAGUGCACUGCACUAUUCUAUAGAAGUAAAUAUUAGGAAAAAUACCUAUUUAGUACUAAUUCAAACCCCUUAUUUCCCAUUCUAAUGAUAAUCUUUUGCAUUAGCCCAUUCCAAUAUAAGGUAACUAUUUUUAUGCCCAAAUGCACAAAUCUUUAUGCCAAAAUGCACAAAUCUUUACUAAAGUCUUAACAAACCAUAUUAUUUUAAGACUAUUUUGCCCCCACCUCUUCAACGUGAAAAGACUUGGCCGGAACCUCGAACUCCGGUCACCGGCCGCCGGACUCCGGACUCCGGUCACCGACCGCCGGAUUCCGUCACCAGAAUUUCCCCGACCGCCUGAUUCCGGUCACCGGAUUUUCCCCGACUUAGUUUUUAGUUACUGACACCCAGUAGUCACUUAGUUUUCAGUUACUGACACCCAAUAAUCACUUAGUUUUCAGUUACUGACCCCUAAUAAUUUUGGUUACUGACCGGAGAGGAGAGAACUGAGGAACCGGCCUGACGGUGAGCACCCACAUUUCUUCUCUGGGCACCUACCUUCCCCGACGGUGAGCACAUCGGCCUCCUCCACCGACCUCGGCGCACGCCGGCAAGCAACGCCCUUCCAGGGGAGUAGGAGAAGCGGUGAGGCAGCUUAGAGCCGGUUUUCGGGGCUGUGCGGUUGUGGGUGAUUUUGCGGAAGCAGACGAGGAGGAAGAAGAGGAGGGAGAAGGCGGUAGUGGCGGCGCCGGCGAGUGGGACGACGAGGUUGGGCUGCGGUAGAAGAGACGACGGCGACGACGCUGGGGACCGGGUGAUUGGGCGCUGCAGAAGGUGGAUCAGGAAGAGAAGGUGGUCGGAGUUGCUGAAGCAGACGAGGAGGAAGAAGAGGAGGGAGAAGGCAGUGGUGGCAGCGCCGGCGAGUGGGACGACGAGGUUGGGCUGCGGCAGAAGAGACCACUGAGACGGCGCCGGGGACCGGGUGAUUAAGCGCGGUAGAAGGUGGAUCGGGAAGAGAAGGUGGUCGGAGGAGAUGAAGUAGCGGUGCUUGUGUGGGCAGCUAGCAUCGUCGGAGGAGGAGGAGGAGGAGGAGGGAGGGGAGAGAGAGAGAGAGAGAGAGAGAGAGAGAGAGAGAGAGAGAGAGAGAGNNNNNNNNNNNNNNNNNNNNUAAAAACUGUUUGAAUUUAAUUAAACACAGGGUAAUAACGUUUUUUUCUCAAGAAUUAUUGGAAUGGGCCCAAAGAUAAGACUUUCAUUGGAAUGAGCUUUAGUUUUUAAAUAUUUGGGCAUUAGGGCAUUUUCCCUAAAUAUUAAUUAAUAUCAUUCAUGAACUUCAAGGGAAUUGUAGUAACAUUAGCCCACAAACUUAAAAUCGCCCACAUCUCGAAAGGUUCUGGCAUUGGUCUAUAACUAUAUGACCAGCACUUGAGUAACACUUAAGUUUUUUCAUGAGCAAUAAACAUAAGGUAUGGUUUUAUGGCAUUGAGAUCUCAUGAGCACGGAUAUUUUGUUGUUGGAAUAGUGCUCACACCAGCACGAUCUAUUGACAGAUCACUCUUAUCUCGAAUUAAUCUUGCAAUAAUUUUGGAAUAGAUAUGGCAACCACAAAUUAAUCAACCUAUUUUGACAGCUGUUUUUCGAUCUGGUGCGACUACUGGAAACUGAAACCUUAGCUAAAUA
This 4663-nucleotide long non-coding RNA is filed under the name Fragaria vesca (wild strawberry). Its description in RNAcentral is "long non-coding RNA (FVES_LNC000880)". The record is from RNAcentral. Lineage: Eukaryota; Viridiplantae; Streptophyta; Magnoliopsida; Rosales; Rosaceae.